Molecule: ribosomal RNA, 408 nt
Filed under: Enicospilus flavostigma
Lineage: Eukaryota; Metazoa; Arthropoda; Insecta; Hymenoptera; Ichneumonidae
Description: partial 28S ribosomal RNA
Source: RNAcentral
CCUGAGAAACCCGAAAGAUCGAAUGGGGAGAUUCAUCGUCAGCGAUCCAGGCGCGUGUGCGGUUCGUGAUGCCGCGGGACUUCGGUUCCGUGGUACACGUCCGUGUGGGUUUUUGCCUGGUGUCGUCGGCGUGCACUUCUCCCCUAGUAGGACGUCGCGACCCGUUGGGUGUCGGUCUACGGCCCGGAUGGUCGCCUGUCAUGCGUACGACGCUUCACGGCGUUAUGUGGCUGACAGACCACCGGUCGCCCGACCAGCUGCCCGGCGGUACUCGCACGGUAUCGAGCCGCAGAUUUGAACUGCGUCCGGCCCGCCGCAAGCGAGGCCAGUGCUUCCCGGAUGUACGGACCUAGCGCCGUCGCCGGGCCUGGCCGGCUGUUGGCUGGCGGUGUCCUGGGACUGGCUCAU